Molecule: ribosomal RNA, 465 nt
Filed under: uncultured bacterium
Lineage: Bacteria
Description: partial 16S ribosomal RNA
Rfam family: Bacterial small subunit ribosomal RNA
Source: RNAcentral
GACGAACGCUGGCGGCGUGCUUAACACAUGCCAGUCGAACGGAAAGGCCCUGCUUGCAGGGUACUCGAGUGGCGAACGGGUGAGUAACACGUGGGUGAUCUGCCCUCCACUUCGGGAUAAGCCUGGUAAACUGGGUCUAAUACCGGAUAGGAGCCAUUUUUAGUGUGAUGGUUGGAAAGUUUUUUCGGUGUAGGAUGAGCUCUCGGCCUAUCAGCUUGUUGGUGGGGUAAUGGCCUACCAAGGCGGCGACGGGUAGCCGGCCUGUGAGGGUGGACGGCCACAGUGGGACUGAGAGAAGGCCCAGACUCCUACGGGAGGCAGCAGGGGGGAAUAUUGACCAAUGGGCGCAAGCCUGGUGCAGCGACGCCGCGUGGGGGAUGACGGCCUUAGGGUUGUAAAACCCUUUCGCUAGGGACGAAGCUUUUUGUGACGGUACCUAGAUAAGAAGCACCGGCUAACUACGUG